UAGGGAAUCUUCCGCAAUGGGCGAAAGCUUGACGGAGCAACGCCGCGUGAGUGAUGAAGGUCUUCGGAUCGUAAAACUCUGUUAUUAGGGAAGAACAAAUGUGUAAGUAACUAUGCACGUCUUGACGGUACCUAAUCAGAAAGCCACGGCUAACUACGUGCCAGCAGCCGCGGUAAUACGUAGGUGGCAAGCGUUAUCCGGAAUUAUUGGGCGUAAAGCGCGCGUAGGCGGUUUUUUAAGUCUGAUGUGAAAGCCCACGGCUCAACCGUGGAGGGUCAUUGGAAACUGGAAAACUUGAGUGCAGGAGAGGAAAGUGGAAUUCCAUGUGUAGCGGUGAAAUGCGCAGAGAUAUGGAGGAACACCAGUGGCGAAGGCGACUUUCUGGUCUGUAACUGACGCUGAUGUGCGAAAGCGUGGGGAUCAAACAGG
RNAcentral lists this ribosomal RNA (429 nucleotides) under Actinomycetes bacterium. RNAcentral describes it as "Actinobacteria bacterium partial 16S ribosomal RNA". It matches the Rfam family "Bacterial small subunit ribosomal RNA", at positions 355 to 776 of the family's 1533-position model. Lineage: Bacteria; Bacillati; Actinomycetota; Actinomycetes. The record is from RNAcentral.